This 574-nucleotide ribosomal RNA is filed under the name Genicanthus melanospilos (spotbreast angelfish). Its description in RNAcentral is "partial large subunit ribosomal RNA". It matches the Rfam family "Bacterial large subunit ribosomal RNA", at positions 1816 to 2597 of the family's 2925-position model. The record is from RNAcentral. Lineage: Eukaryota; Metazoa; Chordata; Actinopteri; Pomacanthidae.
CGCCUCUUGCAAAAUUAAUAAAUAAGAGGUCUCGCCUGCCCUGUGACUAUAUGUUUAACGGCCGCGGUAUUUUGACCGUGCAAAGGUAGCGCAAUCACUUGUCUUUUAAAUGAAGACCCGUAUGAAUGGCACAACGAGGGCUUAACUGUCUCUUCUUUCAAGUCAAUGAAAUUGAUCUCCCCGUGCAGAAGCGGGGAUAUGUACAUAAGACGAGAAGACCCUGUGGAGCUUCAGGCACCAAAGCAGAAUAUGUUAAGUACCCCAGACCAAUGAUUGAAACAACUUAUAACCUGCCCUAAUGCCUUCGGUUGGGGCGACCGCGGGGAAAUGAAAAACCCCCAUGUAGAAUGGAAGCACAGCUUCUACAACUAAGAGUCCCCACUCUAACUAACAGAACCUCUGACUAAUAAGAUCCGGCAAUGCCGAUCAACGGACCAAGUUACCCCAGGGAUAACAGCGCAAUCCCCUUUUAGAGCCCAUAUCGACAAGGGGGUUUACGACCUCGAUGUUGGAUCAGGACAUCCUAAUGGUGCAGCCGCUAUUAAGGGUUCGUUUGUUCAACGAUUAAAGUCCU